This 87-nucleotide transfer RNA is filed under the name Acidobacteriota bacterium. RNAcentral's name for it is "Acidobacteria bacterium (activated sludge metagenome) tRNA-Leu". It matches the Rfam family "tRNA". From Rfam's summary of the family: Transfer RNA (tRNA) molecules are approximately 80 nucleotides in length. Their secondary structure includes four short double-helical elements and three loops (D, anti-codon, and T loops). Further hydrogen bonds mediate the characteristic L-shaped molecular structure. tRNAs have two regions of fundamental functional importance: the anti-codon, which is responsible for specific mRNA codon recognition, and the 3' end, to which the tRNAs corresponding amino acid is attached (by aminoacyl-tRNA synthetases). tRNAs cope with the degeneracy of the genetic code in two manners: having more than one tRNA (with a specific anti-codon) for a particular amino acid; and 'wobble' base-pairing, i.e. permitting non-standard base-pairing at the 3rd anti-codon position. RNAcentral also lists the same sequence under 2 other names. The record is from RNAcentral. Lineage: Bacteria; Pseudomonadati; Acidobacteriota.
GCCGGAGUGGCGGAAUGGCAGACGCAGCAGACUCAAAAUCUGCCAAGGUUUUACCUUGUGUGGGUUCAAGUCCCACCUCCGGCACCA